GCGUUUGAGCCACGCCUGUGUCACACUCCUGCCUCUCUGGUCCGUCUUCCCUCAGACUCCUUUCUGCUCUCCAGUCUUCUCCAUCUCCUUCUCGACCAAGGAAGCGGAAUGGAGGUCUGCUCCUGGACUUCGAAGUUUGACUAAAGCAGAGGGUCCUGGUGACGAACUCCCCGGGUUGGAAGACAGAACAGCAGGAAGAUGGAUGAGUGAAGAAAGCAAGACAUCCCCGGGAAGAGGUAUGUUCACUGAUCCUUGAACUUCAGGAGUACAGUUCUACAGUGAUGGUCAUCAGCGUACAUACUGUGUGUAGUUGUACAAGAAGGAUAUUCACACAGAGUGUUGGGGAAUGGAUGGCAAGGCCAGCCACUCAGUCAAACAGCCAAGGUUUUGGCCCGUCGUACACCAACCCUGGACCUGGUAUUUUCUGCCAAACCUGGCACAUUAUAAGAAACGUUUUUUUGUUUGUUUGUUUGUUUGUUUGUUUGUUUGUUUCUCUCUCUCUCUCUUAGGGGAUAAUUUGUAGCCUUGAAAUUCAAUUAAUGGUUUUCAGAAUCAUCUUCAGGAAAGAAAUCCCAUCCAAAGGAUAAUCUCAAAACAGUAGUAAAAUGGAUACAAGCAAUUAACAAUGGUAUCUCCCAAUCACUGGCGAAGUUCUACUCCAUCCCUUCCCCUUCUCUGCUUUAUUUUCCAAGUUCUAAGGUUCAAGUGAAUUCGGGAAUUGUGACAGAAUCUUGUGUGAUGGAAAGGUGGGUGCAGGACAAUGAAAUAAAUGCCUACAGAAAAGCAACCUUCAGACCCAACCGAGUGCAAGUCACAUGCUUGGUCAUCACCUGCACAGAUGUUAAGCACAUUCUACUUGAACUUAUCUGCAUGUUCUGAAGGAGCCGUGAAUCAGCCGUUCUGCAUACUUUGUGAGGGACAAAUACCUUCCUGCCUAGGAAUGCGCUUGUCCUUUGGCCGCUAAAGCUUUCCCUUGCAAACGGUGGAGGACCCCUGGCUCCAGUUGGCUGGGAAACAAGGACAUACAUUUACCACCAUCUGUAACUGGAGUUCAAAGCCCCAGAUCAGGCUAAUCUGAGGCUCCAUAAAGUCAUCAGGAAACCACA
Rattus norvegicus (Norway rat) is the source of this 1106-nucleotide long non-coding RNA. RefSeq lists it as uncharacterized. Lineage: Eukaryota; Metazoa; Chordata; Mammalia; Rodentia; Muridae. The record is from RefSeq and is a predicted model, not a curated record.